Molecule: ribosomal RNA, 435 nt
Filed under: uncultured bacterium
Lineage: Bacteria
Description: partial 16S ribosomal RNA
Rfam family: Bacterial small subunit ribosomal RNA
Source: RNAcentral
AGCGAACGCUGGCGGCAGGCUUAACACAUGCCAGUCGAGCGGGCACCUUCGGGUGUCCGCGGCAGACGGGUGAGUAGCACGUGGGAACGUACCCUUCGGUUCGGAAUAACGCUGGGAAACUAGCGCUAAUACCGGAUACGCCCUUAUGGGGAAAGGUUUACUGCCGAAGGAUCGGCCCGCGUCUGAUUAGCUAGUUGGUGGGGUAACGGCCUACCAAGGCGACGAUCAGUAGCUGGUCUGAGAGGAUGAUCAGCCACACUGGGACUGAGACACGGCCCAGACUCCUACGGGAGGCAGCAGUGGGGAAUAUUGGACAAUGGGCGCAAGCCUGAUCCAGCCAUGCCGCGUGAGUGAUGAAGGCCUUAGGGUUGUAAAGCUCUUUUGUCCGGGACGAUAAUGACGGUACCGGAAGAAUAAGCCCCGGCUAACUUCGUG